This 508-nucleotide ribosomal RNA is filed under the name uncultured bacterium. Its description in RNAcentral is "partial 16S ribosomal RNA". The record is from RNAcentral.
GGAGUUAGCCGGUGCUUCUUCUGUGAGUGAUGUCCUUCCUGCCGGCUAUUAACCCGCAGGCCUUCUUCCUCACUGAAAGUGCUUUACAACCCGAAGGCCUUCUUCACACACGCGGCAUGGCUGGAUCAGGGUUGCCCCCAUUGUCCAAUAUUCCCCACUGCUGCCUCCCGUAGGAGUCUGGGCCGUGUCUCAGUCCCAGUGUGGCUGAUCAUCCUCUCAGACCAGCUACGGAUCGUCGCCUUGGUGAGCCGUUACCUCACCAACCAGCUAAUCCGACAUAGGCUCAUCCGAUAGCGCGAGGCCCGAAGGUCCCCCGCUUUCCCCCGUAGGGCGUAUGCGGUAUUAGCCUGGGUUUCCCCAGGGUUAUCCCCCACUACCGGGCAGAUUCCUAUGCAUUACUCACCCGUCCGCCGCUCGCCACCAGGGAGCAAGCUCCCCGUGCUGCCGCUCGACUUGCAUGUGUUAGGCCUGCCGCCAGCGUUCAAUCUGAACCAAGAUCAAAUUCUGA